Molecule: long non-coding RNA, 291 nt
Filed under: Mytilus galloprovincialis (Mediterranean mussel)
Lineage: Eukaryota; Metazoa; Mollusca; Bivalvia; Mytilida; Mytilidae
Source: RNAcentral
UUGGUGUUUCCUCGACAAUUGAUAAGAAAUGUUAUUCUCGGUAUUAAUUUUGUACCUUUUAUAUAUCGUCCAAAAUUGCAUGCUGAUUUUAUUUGUUUUUCAUUUGUAUUAUAGUGUAGGCUGUUAGCUGUCUCAUUGACAUUUAGUACACGUCUUCCUCCUUCGACUUAGAAAUGAACUAUAGACAGUUGAUCCAUGAAUCCAUAAAAAAACACAACUACAUCGUUUAAAUACUCAUUCAUCGUCGUUCCUAUGACAGAAAUGUUUGUACAGAAAGUUAUAUUCAAAUGU